UUACCUCAUACCAUUUUCGAUGGAUCGAUGUUAAUUCGGCAACCCUCCGCGGCGCGGCGCGAGCGUCGCCGCCACAGCAACUCAGCCGCUCAGUCGGAACUCGGCUUCACUCAGUCCACGACCGUUUGCCACGAGACUUCGAUCUCAUCGGUCCUUCCUCGUCUUUCUCUUCCUCUCCUCCCUUCUUUUUCCCGCUUGGGGGAUAGAAAGCAACUACCACCACCACCGGCACCCGACGCCGUCGACGCCGACGCCACUAUCGCCACUACCACCGCCACCACCACCACCACCACCACCACCACCACCACCACCACCACCGCCACCACCACCACCACCAGCACCACCACCACCACCACCAUCAUCAUCGCCACCACCACUGUCACCGCCACCGACGACCGGAGAGACGCACGUAGUCUAAACGUGAGACUCGUACGGACGUCGUCGUCGUCGUCCUCGCCGGGUGCUCCUCGUACACACUCUGUUUUUCCAGCCAGCUCUCACCGCGUUGUACAUCGGCCUCGUCCCUUCCUCCAUCGCGCUGCGGUGUGAUCAACGAGAAAAAGAUUCGAAUUUGCCAAAGUGAAUUCGAUUUG
Molecule: long non-coding RNA, 593 nt
Organism: Frieseomelitta varia
Lineage: Eukaryota; Metazoa; Arthropoda; Insecta; Hymenoptera; Apidae
Exons: 3
Source: RefSeq, a predicted model, not a curated record